AGUGGAUGGGGAGCAACCUAGUUGUGCGUGUGUAAAGGUAGUGCCAAGAAAAGCGAUGAUCAUGUUGAAAAUCAAUUCCCGGUACCCGAAACCGACACAGGUGGGCAAGUAGAGAAUACUAAGGGGCGCGAGGUAACUCUCUCCAAGGAACUCGGCAAAAUGACCCCGUAACUUAGGGAGAAGGGGUGCCACCGAGAGGUGGCCGCAGUGAAGAGGCCCAGGCGACUGUUUAGCAAAAACAUAGGUCUCUGCAAACUCGAAAGAGGAGGUAUAGGGGCUGACGCCUGCCCAGUGCCGGAAGGUUAAAGAAGUUGGUCAGUCUUAGGAUGAAGCUAGCGACUGAAGCCCCGGUGAACGGCGGCCGUAACUAUAACGGUCCUAAGGUAGCGAAAUUCCUUGUCGGGUAAGUUCCGACCCGCGCGAAAGGCGUAACGAUCUGGGCGCUGUCUCGGAGAGAGGCUCGGCGAAAUAGGAUUGUCUGUGAAGAUACGGACUACCUGCAUUUGGACAGAAAGACCCUAUGAAGCUUUACUAUAGCUUGGAAUUGUGUUCGGGCUUCCUGUGCGCAGGAUAGGUGGGAGGCGUAGAAGGUAUUCUUGUGGGGAUACUGGAGCCAACGGUGAGAUACCACUCUCAGGAGGCUAGAAUUCUAACUUAAUUAAGGACAGUUUCAGGUGGGUAGUUUGACUGGGGCGGUCGCCUCCAAAAAGGUAACGGAGGCGUACAAAGGUUCCCUCAGACUGGUUGGAAAUCAGUCGAAGAGUGCAAAGGCAGAAGGGAGCUUGACUGCGAGAAGUACAGUUCGAGCAGGGUGGAAACACGGUCUUAGUGAUCCGACGGUGCUGUGUGGAAGGGCCGUCGCUCAACGGAUAAAAGUUACUCUAGGAUAACAGGCUGAUCUCCCCCAAGAGUUCACAUCGACGGGGAGGUUUGGCACCUCGAUGUCGGCUCAUCGCAACCUGGGGCGGAAGUACGUCCCAAGGGUUGGGCUGUUCGCCCAUUAAAGCGGUACGUGAGCUGGGUUCAGAACGUCGUGAGACAGUUCGGUCCAUAUCCGAUGUAGGCGUGAGAAUAUUGAGAGGAGCCUUCCUUAGUACGAGAGGGCCGGGAAGGACGCACCGCUGGUGUACCUGUUAUGAUGCCAAUUGUAAACGCAGGGUAGCCAAGUGCGGAGAGGAUAACCGCUGAAAGCAUCUAAGUGGGAAGCCCACCUCAAGAUGAGUAUUCUGGUGUAAGGUCACGGGAAGACGACCCGUAAAUAGGCACGAGGUGGAAGUGCAGAGAUGUAUGAAGCCGAAGUGUACUAAUAGACCGUCGGCUUGAC
This 1324-nucleotide ribosomal RNA is filed under the name metagenome. Its description in RNAcentral is "bacterial LSU rRNA". It matches the Rfam family "Bacterial large subunit ribosomal RNA", at positions 1561 to 2925 of the family's 2925-position model. The record is from RNAcentral.